This 181-nucleotide ribosomal RNA is filed under the name uncultured Piloderma. RNAcentral describes it as "partial 28S ribosomal RNA". It matches the Rfam family "Eukaryotic large subunit ribosomal RNA", at positions 1 to 187 of the family's 3401-position model. Lineage: Eukaryota; Fungi; Basidiomycota; Agaricomycetes; Atheliales; Atheliaceae. The record is from RNAcentral.
UUGACCUCAAAUCAGGUAGGACUGCCCGCUGAACUUAAGCAUAUCAAUAAGCGGAGGAAAAGAAACUAACAAGGAUUCCCCUAGUAACUGCGAGUGAAGCGGGAAAAGCUCAAUUAAAAUCUGGCGGUCUGCGCCGUCGAGUGUAUCUGGAGAGCGCUAUCCGCGUCGACCGUGUACAGUC